CUGGGUGGGGCGGCGCGCGCCCGUGCGUGACGAAUGGGCCGGUUCGGCCCAAAGUGGCCGGGCCGGUCCGUUUCUCCCUUUUUUUUCUUUUAGCCUUUUCUUUUUCUGCUUUCCUCAUUUCUUUGGUAUCUUUUGAGUUUGAACUCCAAAUUGGUCCAAAUAAAAUCUAGAAAAUUUGUAAAAUCAUGUCCUACCGUGAUACAACUUUUGGAAGUAGUUUCUCUUCAAAAUAAAAUAUAUAAAAAUAGAUUUGCCCUAUAAAUGCCUUUAGGACCAUAUAUCUAUUUAAUUAAAAUACUUUUUUUCAACUCCAAAUAAUUAUCCAAAAAUUAUGGGAUAGCUUAUAUAUGCAUUAAACCCCUUUUAUGCAUAAACCCUAUUGGUUUUGAAAAUUCCAAAGCUCAAAUGGGUGUAAACCAAAUCUUUUAAAGCCUUUUGAGAUUCAAAAUUUGAAUUCAAGUAUGCAAUUGUGGCAUGAUGUUCAUGGAUGCAAUGCCCAUGUAAAAGUUUGAAAUUUUGGGAUGUUACACUUGCAUUGCUGUCGGCCAGUAG
Molecule: long non-coding RNA, 552 nt
Filed under: Brachypodium distachyon (stiff brome)
Lineage: Eukaryota; Viridiplantae; Streptophyta; Magnoliopsida; Poales; Poaceae
Description: long non-coding RNA (BDIS_LNC002452)
Source: RNAcentral